Molecule: ribosomal RNA, 417 nt
Filed under: Triticum aestivum (bread wheat)
Lineage: Eukaryota; Viridiplantae; Streptophyta; Magnoliopsida; Poales; Poaceae
Description: partial small subunit ribosomal RNA
Source: RNAcentral
AUGUGUAUGAAAAACAGGAAAAGCUUUUACAUAUUUUCUCGGUUCCAGGAAACAAUCAUGUGUGUUUAUGCGCAGAUGGCCCUGCAACCACUUAACCUGGUAAUUCAUAUUCACCAUGUGCCAUGUGCAAGUUGUUCAGCAUCCAAGAGAGUAACUUUAGCUUGCUUCUCUUUUCAGCAAGAGCUCAAGGAUCCGUAUCUACCUGCUGAAUUAGGUACUGCAAACAAACAGCCAACGAAUUAUUUUUGCAAAUCGUUAACUGCAAGUGACACAAGCUCGCAGCUGAGAAAGUGUUUCCUCUGGUGGAUUUCACUAUGCAACCUCCAGCACAGGAGUUGCCUGCAAAAGAUCUUCAUGGCAAUGAGUAGAAAUUCAUUAGAGCUGACGGUGGAGGGGAUGUUGCGUGCUAAGAGAUGA